UACGUAGGGGGCAAGCGUUGUCCGGAAUCAUUGGGCGUAAAGAGCGCGUAGGCGGCCCUGUAAGUCCGCUGUGAAAGUCAAGGGCUCAACCCUUGAAUGCCGGUGGAUACUGCAGGGCUAGAGUCCGGAAGAGGCGAGUGGAAUUCCUGGUGUAGCGGUGAAAUGCGCAGAUAUCAGGAGGAACACCGAUGGCGAAGGCAGUGUCCUGGCGAGUGACUGACGCUGAGGUGCGAAAGCCAGGGGAGCGAACGGG
RNAcentral lists this ribosomal RNA (253 nucleotides) under uncultured bacterium. RNAcentral describes it as "partial 16S ribosomal RNA". It matches the Rfam family "Bacterial small subunit ribosomal RNA", at positions 524 to 776 of the family's 1533-position model. The record is from RNAcentral.